GAGAAUUUAGCAGAGAUGCUUUAGUGCCUUCGGGAACUCUGAGACAGGUGCUGCAUGGCUGUCGUCAGCUCGUGUUGUGAAAUGUUGGGUUAAGUCCCGNAACGAGCGCAACCCUUAUCCUUUGUUGCCAGCACGUAAUGGUGGGAACUCAAAGGAGACUGCCGGUGAUAAACCGGAGGAAGGUGGGGAUGACGUCAAGUCAUCAUGGCCCUUACGAGUAGGGCUACACACGUGCUACAAUGGCGCAUACAAAGAGAAGCGACCUCGCGAGAGCAAGCGGACCUCAUAAAGUGCGUCGUAGUCCGGAUUGGAGUCUGCAACUCGACUCCAUGAAGUCGGAAUCGCUAGUAAUCGUAAAUCAGAAUGUUACGGUGAAUACGUUCCCGGGCCUUGUACACACCGCCCGUCACACCAUGGGAGUGGGUUGCAAAAGAAGUAGAUAGCUUAACCUUCGGGAGGGCGUUUACCACUUUGUGAUUCAUGACUGGGGUGAAGUCGUAACAAGGUAAGCGUAGUGCU
Molecule: ribosomal RNA, 519 nt
Filed under: uncultured bacterium
Lineage: Bacteria
Description: bacterial SSU rRNA
Rfam family: Bacterial small subunit ribosomal RNA
Source: RNAcentral